This 166-nucleotide ribosomal RNA is filed under the name Triphysaria eriantha. RNAcentral's name for it is "5.8S ribosomal RNA". It matches the Rfam family "5.8S ribosomal RNA". Rfam says of the family: 5.8S ribosomal RNA (5.8S rRNA) is a component of the large subunit of the eukaryotic ribosome. It is transcribed by RNA polymerase I as part of the 45S precursor that also contains 18S and 28S rRNA. The record is from RNAcentral. Lineage: Eukaryota; Viridiplantae; Streptophyta; Magnoliopsida; Lamiales; Orobanchaceae. RNAcentral also lists the same sequence under 34 other names.
CAUAACGACUCUCGGCAACGGAUAUCUCGGCUCUCGCAUCGAUGAAGAACGUAGCGAAAUGCGAUACUUGGUGUGAAUUGCAGAAUCCCGUGAACCAUCGAGUCUUUGAACGCAAGUUGCGCCCGAAGCCUCACGGCCGAGGGCACGCCUGCCUGGGCGUCACGCA